UCCCUAAACCCAUUGAAAACAAUGCCUUUUCAGCCCGUACAUGUACAGGCUUUGUCAUUAAGGGGUUAAUAAUGACUUUAUUUGCAUAACCCUAUCAUGAAGAACAAACAGAGAAACCCUAUGGGAAUUCCAAAGUUUUAUUAAUAAAAUACUCUUGAAUUGUAAAAAAAAAAUAAAA
Molecule: long non-coding RNA, 178 nt
Organism: Spea bombifrons (plains spadefoot toad)
Lineage: Eukaryota; Metazoa; Chordata; Amphibia; Anura; Pelobatidae
Exons: 2
Source: RefSeq, a predicted model, not a curated record